RNAcentral lists this ribosomal RNA (442 nucleotides) under uncultured bacterium. RNAcentral's name for it is "partial 16S ribosomal RNA". It matches the Rfam family "Bacterial small subunit ribosomal RNA", at positions 28 to 507 of the family's 1533-position model. The record is from RNAcentral.
GAUGAACGCUGGCGGCGUGCCUUAUACAUGCAAGUCGAGUGGGUUUAGACCCACGGCAAACGGGUGAGUAACACGUAGGUACUUUCCUUGUCACAGGAAUAACCCUCCGAAAGGAGGGCUAAUACCUGAUGUGAUCGCAAGAUUAAAGGGUAUCCGCAAGGAUUACCGGACAAGAAGAGGCCUGCGGCCUAUCAGCUAGUUGGCGGGGUAAAUGCCCACCAAGGCUAUGACGGGUAGCUGGUCUUAUGAGGAUGAUCAGUCACAUGGGCACUGAGACACGGGCCCAACUCCUACGGGAGGCAGCAGUAGGGAAUUUUGCGCAAUGGGCGAAAGCCUGGCGCAGCGACGCCGCGUGCGGGAUGAAGGCCUUCGGGUCGUAAACCGCUUUUAUAAGGGACGAACUUUGACGGUACCUUAUGAAUAAGAGGUUGCUAACUCUGUG